This is a long non-coding RNA of Notolabrus celidotus (New Zealand spotty), 564 nucleotides long. RefSeq lists it as uncharacterized. The transcript is spliced from 3 exons. The record is from RefSeq and is a predicted model, not a curated record. NCBI's taxonomy places the organism in Eukaryota, Metazoa, Chordata, Actinopteri, Labriformes, Labridae.
CAGACAGUCUAUUCUCACAUCGAACGUCUCCCUAAAGAAGGAGUCCCAUUCUCUAAGGUGGUGGUAGUGACCCCAUUCAGGAUUCCCUCCUUGCACAUCCCAAAGUCUGCCAGCUUACAGUGACCCUCCGCAUCCAGCAGUAUGUUGUCCAACUUCAAGUCCCUGCAGAAGACAAGAGUUAUAAAGAAUUCAAAGUGACCUGUCUCUUGAAGAUGGAGGAGAAAUAGACAGGAAAAGGAAGGGAAAGGGAACAGACUGGGAAAAUCAGAGCAAAUUGAAGGUUGAGUGGGAGAAAGAGACCGAGGGUCGAGAGAGAGGGAGAAGUGAGAGAUAAGAGCAGCAGUGUUGAAAGAUGACAGGGCUGGUCAUGAAUGCAGCCGCUCUUGGACUUGAUGGUUGAUCGCUUCAAAAAUGUCAACAUCUCCUGGAUGUAGCCAAUGCAACCAUUCAGCCCGAGGUGUUUUCAAAAAAACAGCCGCCCUGACAAGCCGGGGAGGAGAUGAAGCAUGUGUGUGCGUGUGUUUCUGAAGUCAAGAGCUUAUGUAACUGUUCUGUUUUUGUAAG